This 2809-nucleotide long non-coding RNA is filed under the name Canis lupus familiaris (dog). RNAcentral describes it as "lncRNA (ENSCAFG00845003118.1)". The record is from RNAcentral. Lineage: Eukaryota; Metazoa; Chordata; Mammalia; Carnivora; Canidae.
GUGUGCGUACAACCCUACAACCCGUGCCUGCCUAAAUCGUGUCACUGCAGGCUCCUGGUUCGACACCCGGGCUACUGAUGCCCAGAGAAGGGAGGUGACUGGGAGCCUAGUCAUGGCACAUCAUGAGGGCGCCCGAGGACUCCUGACCCCCUGGCGAGGGGGCCCUCUGUGAUGGCAUGUCACAGCCCUGGGCGCUCGGGGAUCUCCUCUCCCCUCACGCCGGUGGGAGAGGAAGGGAUCCCAAACGGCACCCUGUCCACCUCCGACGCCAACCGUCCCCUGGUGCAGAGGAAACCAGCUUUCUGCUGGUCGGAGGAGCGUUUCAGAAGAGGAAGCAAAAACCGAGCUGGGCAGAGCUGAUGGAAAAAGGAAGACAACUCUUAUUUCUCAUUGCCUCAUGUGGAUCAAUGCUUAGAGGUACAUUCUCUAUACAAGAAGACAUUACAGACUUGGAGGGGUGGGUAACAUGUUCCAGAGGUUUUGGUCAGAAGGUGAUACAAGUGGGACAGAACUCGGAUAUUUCAAAGUCACCUCUUUUUUUUUUUUUUUAACCAUAUUACCUCUUUAUUAAAGAAGAAGAAGAAGAAGAAGAAGAAGAAGAAGAAGAAGAAGAAGAAGAAGAAGAAGAAGAAGAAGAAGAAAGAAAGAAAAGACUUACCUUGUGCAGGUACACUGGACUUGAGAAACAGAAUGCUGUUGCUACAGGCACACACGGCCCCCAGCCCCCGCAGAGGCUGGCCCGAACUCCACAGAGCUCCCACACUCCCUGAGGCCCAUGGAUCUGAGCUGACUGUUGCUCACCAGUGCUCUGCUCAGAGUUUCUCCAGAAGCAACUCCAGGUAUCUUUACUGAGAAACAGGAAGACCAUUCUUUACAUUCUGGGGAAAAGACCCGAGUCUGGCUUUCAAGGCCUCAGGGAAAGAAUUUUCCAGCUGGGAGCAUAUAGCCACUGUGAGCCAUCAGCCAUCAGGAUGUUGCAUAGCCACGGACAGGGAUAGAUGUCCCUCAGUGAAAAAGAAAGUCAGACCUUGAUUGAACACCCAGGGAAAUACCACACAUACCAAAAACUUAAUAAAGAGAUUUUCCAAAAAGCUGCAGACAGAGCACUGCUUUGUGUCUCAUCCCCAAGUGCACAUCCCCCUUGACUCACAGCAUGAAGCGGCCACAAAGGAACAUCCUCAUCUUCCCACGACCCUCCCAGCCUGCGUGCUGCCCUCCUGCUGAGAAGGACGAGAUGGGGGCUCCUGCGGCAGCCAGGCUGGACUAGAUCUCAGCUUCUUCCCAGUGCGCACACUUGGUGUCUACAACCGAAGUCCAUCGUCUCCCUGCCCUUGGUCUACCCUUCCAUCCGAGGGUCAUUCCUGCACAGUCUGCUCUCCACCGCCCCAUCCUAAGAAGUGGAAGGCAGAGGAUGAUGCUGAACAUCCUUGGCUCAAGCACUGUGCUGAAGAGAUGAUCAUUUGGAUUCUGUUUAUGCAUAAAAAAACCCAGGAGUACAUGUGACAAUGCAGUAAUGCAUAUUUUCAAAUAUCAAAAUAAAAUAUGGCCUAGCUGGAUCUGACAUAGUGCACAAAUGAAUUCAGAGGCAAUUAAAUGGAAUUUCAACACUCCGUAUAAAAAGGACUUGAGCAGGAAAUGCGAGACCAUGAACACCUCAUCACCCAAGUCAUGCUGCAACCCCUCCUGCCCCUUCCGGUUGAAACCAUGUGGAAGACACACGUGAGAAAGAGAGCACAUGAAGGGAAGGCUGAGGGAGAAGAAGAGACAGAGUCUCCAGCCGACUGCCCUGCUGAACUCAGAGCCCGAUGUGGUGCUCGAUCCCAUGACCCUGAGAUCACAGCCUACGCUGAAACCAAGAGUCGGACACUUAGUCGACUGAGCCACCCAGGGGCCCCUUGUUUUUCAUCUAUAACAAAGGGACAAUUCUAUCAGCGUUUCAAGGUGACUGUGAGUCACAUAAAAGUUAAACGAGAUCAUAUGUGCAAAGUGCUUGGUGAGGGCCCAAGGCAACCAGGAGUCCUGCAAGCCAGCUUUUCUCCUUCUUCCAGCAAGAGCGUGGACACUACCACCACCACUAGGUAGGUUCCUGCAGACUCCUGCUGUGUUAACUUGUCCCACGCCACUGCCUUUAUUCUGCAAACUUGUGACAACACCAGGAUCCUUUCUAAAAGGUGCUUGCAUUCAAGGGAACAGAGGACUCUGGGAGCCAGGAGCACCACGUGGCCUCUGUGCCGAAGAGUGAGUCGCUGAGAAAGGCAGCUCAUUUCUCUAGGAUGCCUGCAUGUCCUUCCUGUUGUUAAUGUAUAUGCAGAACUUGAAAGAGUUUCUAGCAGAGAGACUGUGGAUAGGUGUAAGGCCUUGCUCUUCAUGUGCCCUUGAGCUCUCCCUACUUCUGUGCUGACAACACCGCAGAAAGAGAGGAAUAAAACACUUGGAAUGGCCCACACUCAUGUGGGAGAACAAAUUUGUGAGUCUUCUCUAGACUGCCAAAUCGUUCGAAGAGUGUAGAGCUGGAACUGCAGUUGGGUAGGAUAAGGCUUAAAAUGUCAGGCAUGCACAGUCUACGCACCAACAUCUUCAACAGUGGAGAACACUGAAGCUUUCCCUGCUGAUAUAGGAAAUGAGACAAGGAAACCUUGCACUGAAAUUGGAAGAAAAACUAAACAUUGCAGAUAAAGGAUGCUGUCAUGGAGGGAAGAAAGAGCGGGACAGAUCAGGGAAGGAAGUUAGACUUCCCCGAAUACAUCUUAUUUUAUAGAUUUGAUUUCAGGGCUAUGUAUAGUUUUACUUAAGACGAAAUUAACCAAAA